GCCAAAGAAGACAUGAUACUAGUGUAAUGAGGUAAUGCCUUUGCAUAUGCUCACAUUAUACAUUAAGACAUGCAAGGGAAAACUGUCCUCCGAUGAGACUGGUAAAGAGUCCUCUGAUGAGUUAUGGGUUGUGGAGAACAAGUGCAAGGUGGUUUUUAAAAUUUACACCAAAGAAUUCCCAGACGAGGAGAUCACAUUCCAUGCUAGCCUACCGUAUGUGGAGAGAGGUAAUCUGUUUGGUUCAGCUCUCUGUAUAAGACAUAUUUUUCAGAUUAAUAUCUAUGGAUAUAUAUGCAGUGUUAAGUGUUUGACACUGCAUUUUUUCAUGUACAACUUUCAACGUACAGUGGCAGUAACAAAUGGCAGUGGCCCAAGUACGCAUGCUCAAACUCCAGUAUGUAAACCAAAUAGGUAUGUUUUAUGUAGAUGCCUUUCGUGCCAGUGUAAACCAAAUACAGAUAUACUUACGUGC
This is a long non-coding RNA of Etheostoma cragini (Arkansas darter), 472 nucleotides long. RefSeq lists it as uncharacterized. The transcript has 3 exons. The record is from RefSeq and is a predicted model, not a curated record. NCBI's taxonomy places the organism in Eukaryota, Metazoa, Chordata, Actinopteri, Perciformes, Percidae.